Populus trichocarpa (black cottonwood) is the source of this 3139-nucleotide RNA transcript. It is a transcript of the gene named probable helicase CHR10, with no coding region annotated. The transcript is spliced from 17 exons. The record is from RefSeq and is a predicted model, not a curated record. Lineage: Eukaryota; Viridiplantae; Streptophyta; Magnoliopsida; Malpighiales; Salicaceae.
CCUUCAAGCCUGUCUUCGAUAUACAACGGCUACUCUCAAAGAGACCGAGAGGGAUGAAUUAUGAGCAGAGGCUCGCGGCAGCCACAAUGAUCAUCGAAUCGAAAUCACACGGAGAAAGCGGUUAUGCAACUUCGCCUUUUGACGCCACAGAAAUCGGCGUCACGGCGACGCUGAAACCUCACCAACUUGAAGGCAUCUCGUGGCUUAUACAGAGAUAUCACCUCGGUGUUAAUGUUAUCCUCGAUGGGAUUAGGGAAGACCUUGCAAGCCAUCUCUUUCUUAAGUUAUUUGAAGGUUCAUCAGAAGUCACCUGGACCAUAUUUGGUGUUGUGCCCUUUAAGUGUGACAGAUGGAUGGGUGUCAGAGAUAGACAAAUUCACCCCCAAACUGAAAGUCCUUAGGUAUGUCGGUGAGAAAGAACACCAGCGCAGUUUGCGCAAGACAAUACAUGAACAUGUGAAAGAGAGUCCUUCAUCAUCCAACGUAUCAUUGUUGCCUUUUGAUGUGCUAUUGACAACAUAUGACAUUGCAUUAGUGGAUCAAGAAUUUUUGUCACAGAUUCCAUGGCACUAUGCUAUAGUAGAUGAAGCUCAAAGACUUAAAAAUCCUAAGAGCGUUCUUUAUAAUGUUCUCAUAGACCAGUUCCUCAUGCCAAGACGGUUGUUGAUGACUGGCACACCCAUCCAGAAUAAUCUCACUGAACUUUGGGCUCUGAUGCAUUUUUGUAUGCCUUUAGUGUUUGGAACCCUGGAUCAGUUCCUUUCCACGUUCAGGGAAGCUGCUGAUGCUUCAUCAGAUCAUGAUGCAACAAAGGUCAAGCGGCAGUUCAAGACUUUAAAAAGUAUAUUGAAAUCCUUCAUGCUUCGAAGAACAAAAUCUAGGCUUAUAGAAUGUGGAAACCUAGUGCUGCCAUCAUUGACUGAGAUUACUGUGAUGGCUCCACUGGUCAGCCUGCAAAAGAAAGUUUAUACCUCAAUAUUGAGGAAGGAGCUUCCAAAACUUCUUGCGCUGUCUUCUUCAGCUUCCAAUCAUCAAUCUCUGCAGAAUAUGGUAAUACAACUAAGAAAAGCAUGCAGCCACCCUUACCUCUUUCCUGGUAUUGAGCCUGAGCCAUAUGAAGAGGGUGAACACCUAGUUAAGGCCAGUGGGAAACUUAUAAUUUUGGACCAACUACUUGAGAAGCUACAUGAUUCUGGACAUCGUGUGCUUCUCUUUGCUCAAAUGACUCACACACUAGACAUUUUACAGGAUUUUCUAGAGCUUCGAAAGUAUUCAUAUGAGCGUCUUGAUGGUUCAGUUCGAGCUGAGGAGCGUUUUGCUGCAAUAAGAAGUUUUAGUGGACAGUCAGGGAGGUCUGGUUCUGAAUCUGAUCAAAAUAGCUCUUUUGUUUUUAUGAUAUCUACAAGAGCUGGAGGAGUUGGCUUGAAUCUCGUGGCUGCAGAUACGGUUAUAUUCUAUGAGCAAGAUUGGAAUCCUCAGGUUGACAAACAGGCUUUGCAGCGAGCACACAGGAUUGGUCAAAUGAACCAUGUCCUGUCAAUAAACUUAGUUACAAGGCAUUCUGUGGAGGAGGUUAUUAUGCAAAGAGCAAAGAGGAAAUUGCAGCUUAGCCAUGAUGUUGUAGGAGAUGAUGUCAUGGAAGAGGACAGAAAAGAAACAGGAGGAAUUGAAACUGGUGAUUUGCGAUCUAUCAUAUUUGGGUUACAUAGGUUUGAUCCUUCGGAGGUCAACAGUGAAAAAUCAAAUGAAUUAAAUGCCUCAGAAUUGAAAGCUUUGGCACAGAAAGUAAUUGCUCUGCGAUGUGACCAGAUAUUGGACAAAGAUGAUAGAAAGUUUGAGGUCAAUCCUAUUGGUCAAGAAAAAGGACUUGAUUUUGUUAGUGGAGGAGAAUCUGCUCUUGCAAGCUAUGAUCCUGGUCUUGAUGAGGCAUCAUAUCUAUCAUGGGUUGAAAAAUUCAAGGAAACAUCACAAUCAAAUGAAAAUCUGGUUAUGGAUUUGGGAAAUAGAAGGAACUUGCCUGAUAAUAAGUAUCUUAAUCUUGAGGCUGCAAAGAAAAAGGCAGAGGAGAAAAAGUUGUCAAAGUGGGAGGCCCUUGGAUACCAUUCAUUAUCUGUUGGGGAUCCCAUCUACCCUGUAGAUGGGGAUGCAUUGUCAGACUCAGGUUUUGUUCAUUUUGUUGUUGGGGAUUGUACACAUCCAGAUAAGCUCUGCUCGUCUGAGCCCAGUGUCAUAUUCAGUUGUGUAGAUGAGUCAGGAAAUUGGGGCCAUGGAGGAAUGUUCGAUGCACUGGCCAAACUGUCUUCAAGUAUCCCUGCUGCAUAUCAACAAGCCUCUGAAUUUAGGGACCUUCAUCUUGGUGAUGUCCAUCUUGUAAAAAUUAUUGAGAAUACUGAUGGGCAGAACAUGGAAGGUGAUACUCCACGGUGGGUUGCUUUGGCUGUUGUACAAUCUUAUAAUCCUAGGCGCAAAGUGCCUCGUAGUGAGAUCUCUAUUCCUGACUUGGAGGCUUGCCUGUCCAAGGCGUCUUUUGCUGCAGCUCAAAAUUCAGCCUCAAUCCACAUGCCUCGUAUUGGUUAUCAAGAUGGAACAGAUCGCUCACAGUGGUAUACUGUUGAACGUCUUCUACGAAAAUAUGCUUCUGUUUUUGGAAUAAAGAUCCACGUGUAUUAUUAUCGACGAUCAUCUUGAGGCUUGUGCUCUGUCCUCUGAUACCAUGGCCGCUCAGUUGUAGCUCAAAGAACAGAGUAGAAAUCGUUAUGUUUUUGUAUGAUUUAGCCUUUCUGUAAACAGUAAACUUUUUUACAGCUGGGUCAUCUGUUGGAAGCGAAUGAAUUAUGGGUUCACUUAUGUGUGAACCAAAUAGAAGCGAGGCUCAGCUAAUGUUUUUGACAGACUGUUCAGUUCCGUUUCCACCCAGCCCCGGUUAGCAGUCAUUGAACCCAGGGGGCAUUUAAAUUGGAGCAUUCAAGCGGUUUACCAGGAACACGAAAAUCUAGAUCAAGCAAGUCUUUUCUUGAUUACAUCGGUUUUGUUCAAGAGUUCAGACCAUCUGUUACAUUUCACGUCUCUUACUUUGGAUUUUAGAAUUCAAUUUUUUUCAGCUCUCAAUAAAAUGCUGUAGCAGUACUUGUCUGGAUGA